This is a long non-coding RNA of Hyaena hyaena (striped hyena), 397 nucleotides long. RefSeq lists it as uncharacterized. The transcript is spliced from 2 exons. NCBI's taxonomy places the organism in Eukaryota, Metazoa, Chordata, Mammalia, Carnivora, Hyaenidae. The record is from RefSeq and is a predicted model, not a curated record.
CUCGUGGAACUGGGGGUGGCGGUGGCCGGAGAGUGUCCUGCUCUGACACCCUGAUCCCAGGAGAGCGUGUCAGGCCCGAGCGGAACGGAGACAGCGUCCUGACGCCCGGUUUCUUUGUGUGGUCUUCUCUCCUUCCUCCUCCACACCCUGCGGUGCCAGGCCCAGGCGGGAAAGGAUAAGGGAGGAGUGGACUGCCGUGCCCCUUUUCUCCAGCCUGGGAGGAGCCAGCUGGCAUCUCCGGCAGCCGCGGACCGCUGCCCACCUCUACCACGAGGGGUCAGCAGAGUGUUGUGGCCGCGGCCGGAGUUGGGGAGGGGGUUGGAGCCAGGGAGGGACGCCUAGGAGUGGCCCGGAGAAUGCGUGUACAUUUCCUCAUUAAACUGUUUUCAGAACCUUG